This is a long non-coding RNA of Sarcophilus harrisii (Tasmanian devil), 1973 nucleotides long. The record is from Ensembl. Lineage: Eukaryota; Metazoa; Chordata; Mammalia; Dasyuromorphia; Dasyuridae.
CCCUGCCUCCUUGUCUCCAGCAGUCCCAGAGCCCGGCCCGAGUAUUGCAAAAGCCUGUUAUCUAACUGCAGGCCGGGGCAACCGGCCCUUUUCUCCCUCUAGAAUGUAUUCCCGGCCCCAUUCUCCAGAAAAGCGAUUCCCAUCUGCUUCCCCCUUUAAAAACAACCAAUAAUUCCCCCAGUUACAUGUAAAACGCUAAUUUGCAUGUUUUUAAAGCUCGGAGUUCUAGAUCCUCUCUUUCUCUCUCCCCUUCCCCUCAUUGAGGGCCGCCCAUAAAGUGAUGCAAAGCGUUCCCGUAAAGGUCACGAUGUGAAAGGAAACGGAGAUCUUCCCUCCCAGAAUCCUCUAGGAAAACAAAGGUAAAAAGUCUCUCCGGGGUUCGGAGACAACCUCCCGGGGGGAUCCAGGAUCCGUCUGCCUCCGCUUCGCUGCCUCGGCGGGGCUCUCACCCUCACCAUUCCUGCCUCUCACAGCCCCUGACGCCACUUCUGUUCCCCCGGCCCGGGCUGUAACAGGCGGAGAGCUGGCAGGUGACGGCGCCCCGCCCCACGCAGGAUUCGAACUCGAGUCUUUCCAGGCCCUGGGGGAGCGGGAGGGGCGCCGGCUGCGAGUCUGUGGCAGGCGUCCGGGCCCUUACGCUCCCUGUAUUUACAAAUGGGGCAGCUGAGGCUAAAGGGGCUUCCACUCCACGCCCUACGCACCUGCCCAGCCGUCUCCUCACUGCCCCCUGUCGGCCGCCAGGUGCUUCGGGCAGGCCCGCUCUUCCCGCCCCCGCCGCUCGCUCUCCCUUCUUUCAUUGGUCGCUUCGGCGACUGAUCGAUCGUUGAGUCAGCCAUUCGCUUGGCGGCGUUCCAGGAUCUCUCCGCCCCCACGGUGGCAUCGCCCCCGCCCCCUCCUCUCCCGGGAGCCCGGCGCCGCGCUGAUGUCACCGCGGGCGGGAUGACGUCACGGCGCAUUGACGUCGCCCGGCGGCUGGCGGAGGAGCCGGGUCCGGGCGCUGCCUGAGACCGAGCUCGGGUCUCGGGGUCGCUCGCGCCGGAGGCAGAAGCCGCGUCCCGUCCGCUCGCCGGCCCGGCCCGAGCGUCCGCCGGCCCUCCGGGACGCGGCCGGCGCCAGCCCGAUGAGAUAUUUUAGCCCAAUGCUGCGGCCCGUGAAGAUAUGGAAAAAUGGGAGACUUGAAGAGGUGAUGCAAUUAACUAAGUUGGGGGAAUGCAAUCUGGAAUUAAGAUCUAAAGACAAAAUGAUUUCCAAAGGAGAAAGCGUGACCCAUUCUGAAAAUUAAGGAAUGGCUCUAUCCUUGGUUAUCAUUACUACCGCUGCCACACCCACCACCCUCAUCACCAUCAACAGCCAGUUCGUUUGAGAGGCAACUGUACUUUGAUCCUUUUGAUAAGCAGACAAGGUAAAUAAUUUUUGCCAGGAUCUGCUCUACUUUCAGAGGAACCAAUCUGAGGCUGAUAGACAGUGUGUUACCACAAUCUAGAUGGAUGUUUCCAUGUGUAAGAGUUGAGAUUUGAACUUUAAAUUUCCCAUUCACUUAUUUUCCCUAGGGAUGGAAGGUGUUAGAGUAGCUAUUCCCAUAUGACUUUCUUGCCCCCAGGUCGAGUAAUACUGAGCCAUCACUUCUAGUGAUUCUAUUUUAUUAUUAAAAAAAAAUUCUUGAAGAUUUCAUGUUACUUGAGUGUGUUCCUUAGUUUGGAAAACUUCACUUGUUUGUCAUUAGGCUUUAUAAAUGAUGUAUAAUCGAAUAAUAAUAAUUGCUGCCUUGAUGGUAGAAUUUCCUUGAGAGAAAAUAGCAGCUUUUUAAUUCUUGGUUUUCUACUUGAUUUGAAGAAUGACAGUUAACCAAAAAUUCCUAGCAUUUUAAUACUUCAUAUCUGUGCUAUUAGACAAGGUAGAAUUAUGACAAGGAAUUAGACUUCAUUUCAGGUCCUCUAGUGAAAUCUGCGCCCCCCCAACUUUAUCAGUUUUCC